AGUGAACGCUGGCGGUAGGCCUAACACAUGCAAGUCGAACGGCAGCACAGUAAGAGCUUGCUCGUACGGGUGGCGAGUGGAGGACGGGUGAGGAAUACAUCGGAAUCUACUUUUUCGUGGGGGAUAACGUAGGGAAACUUACGCUAAUACCGCAUACGACCUACGGGUGAAAGCAGGGGAUCUUCGGACCUUGCGCGAUUGAAUGAGCCGAUGUCGGAUUAGCUAGUUGGCGGGGUAAAGGCCCACCAAGGCGACGAUCCGUAGCUGGUCUGAGAGGAUGAUCAGCCACACUGGAACUGAGACACGGUCCAGACUCCUACGGGAGGCAGCAGUGGGGAAUAUUGGACAAUGGGCGCAAGCCUGAUCCAGCCAUACCGCGUGGGUGAAGAAGGCCUUCGGGUUGCAAAGCCCUUUUGUUGGGAAAGAAAAGCAGCUGGUUAAUACCCCGCUGUUCUGACGGUACCCAAAGAAUAAGCACCGGCUAACUUCGUG
RNAcentral lists this ribosomal RNA (492 nucleotides) under uncultured bacterium. RNAcentral's name for it is "partial 16S ribosomal RNA". It matches the Rfam family "Bacterial small subunit ribosomal RNA", at positions 29 to 507 of the family's 1533-position model. The record is from RNAcentral.